Molecule: ribosomal RNA, 451 nt
Filed under: uncultured bacterium
Lineage: Bacteria
Description: bacterial SSU rRNA
Rfam family: Bacterial small subunit ribosomal RNA
Source: RNAcentral
GUGGGAAAUAUUGGACAAUGGGGGGAACCCUGAUCCAGCCAUGCCGCGUGUGUGAAGAAGGCCUUUUGGUUGUAAAGCACUUUAAGCGAGGAGGAGGCUACCGAGAUUAAUACUCUUGGAUAGUGGACGUUACUCGCAGAAUAAGCACCGGCUAACUCUGUGCCAGCAGCCGCGGUAAUACAGAGGGUGCAAGCGUUAAUCGGAUUUACUGGGCGUAAAGCGCGCGUAGGUGGCCAAUUAAGUCAAAUGUGAAAUCCCCGAGCUUAACUUGGGAAUUGCAGUCGAUACUGGUUGGCUAGAGUAUGGGAGAGGAUGGUAGAAUUCCAGGUGUAGCGGUGAAAUGCGUAGAGAUCUGGAGGAAUACCGAUGGCGAAGGCAGCCAUCUGGCCUAAUACUGACACUGAGGUGCGAAAGCAUGGGGAGCAAACAGGAUUAGAAACCCCAGUAGUCC